GAUGAACGCUGGCGGCGUGCUUAACACAUGCAAGUCGAACGAGAAUCAACGGAUUGAGGAUUCGUCCAAAUGAAGCUGAGGAAAGUGGCGGACGGGUGAGUAACGCGUGAGGAACCUGCCUCGGAGUGGGGAAUAACAGUUGGAAACAGCUGCUAAUACCGCAUAAUGCAACGGAAUCGCAUGACUCUGUUGCCAAAGAUUUAUCGCUGAAAGAUGGCCUCGCGUCUGAUUAGCUAGUUGGCGGGGUAACGGCCCACCAAGGCGACGAUCAGUAGCCGGACUGAGAGGUUGACCGGCCACAUUGGGACUGAGAUACGGCCCAG
RNAcentral lists this ribosomal RNA (323 nucleotides) under uncultured bacterium. Its description in RNAcentral is "bacterial SSU rRNA". It matches the Rfam family "Bacterial small subunit ribosomal RNA", at positions 28 to 334 of the family's 1533-position model. The record is from RNAcentral.